Molecule: long non-coding RNA, 341 nt
Filed under: Triticum aestivum (bread wheat)
Lineage: Eukaryota; Viridiplantae; Streptophyta; Magnoliopsida; Poales; Poaceae
Description: long non-coding RNA (TAES_LNC018103)
Source: RNAcentral
AUGGUAGGAGUUAGUGCUGGGAAAGGGAAGUGGUGUUGGUUGGUUAUUGUCUGUCAUUUUGUGUAUUGUCUGUCAUUUUUGUUUGAGUAGCUGACAUCCUUCUCUCUAUUAUCUCUCUAUUGUUUCUGUCUAUGCUCAGGAAAGAAGAAAUGUCCGAAGAAGGACCAAUGCGGGUUAUUACAUGAUUUGGAUGUAUGGUUAAUCAAUACACAUAAAUUUGUUAGUUUGUCCCGCUCAUGGACACUAUUUUAUUGAUCACCGACUUAUGGAUUUUUGCUGCAUGUAGGUGCAAUGUUUUUGAAAAUAAAGGUUUCAAGCAUGGUUCACUUUUAACUGGCGAU